UCUAAGAAAACGUCUCGCGGUUACGGGUGCGUGAGACGUUCGCGAGGCGACUCGUCGCGACGUGGACGGCGUCGCGAAGGCGGGAUUCGCGGCGAGCUUUUCAGAGACGACUUAUUCUAGCGUAAAAAAUACACCGAUCCGCGGAUGCGACCGUGAUCGUAAAAGCGAAAUUUUCCUUUCUUCGCAAAAAUUUCAGAACGGCUACGAGCUGCGGGAAAAUUCAUACACCAAAUUUGGGUCACGCGCAUCCAAAUGGUCCAGAGAAUAGUCUUAUUUUUUUCACUUUUCAAACCGACCGAGACAUUUGGAACCGAAUUUUUUUCUUUACAAGUCAAAUUUGCCGUGCGAGAAUAUCUUGCUAGAUUAAGCUGGCGAAUUUUGACGAUCAUAUUUCUACGUUGGGUGAAUAACAGAAUUUCAAUAAUUCAGAACUAUGUAUAGGAGUGAGACAAAAAAUGAGAAACAUCAAGUUUCAUGUGCCGUAGCUUGUUACGAUUAUUCGCACUGUGCCUACGAAAUUUCAGAAUUGUACACGAGAUUAGAAUCGAAUUACAAUUUUCAAAGCUGAAUCAUGAACAUUGAGUAUAUAUAUGCACAAUGUAUUUCGAGGCAAACGACGUGGAGACUGAUCUUAAAGAUAUUUCGCGAAAAAAUAUUCAGAUUUGCUUCGCAUCUGCACGAGUGUAAACGAGGAAUGAAAACCUGAGUUCAAGUGGUAAUCCUCAUGGAAACGAAGCGGAUUAAAUGGCCAUUCAAUUGUUUCUGAAUCGUUGGUAAUUUAGCUGCUGCCUCGGUACAGUCGACUGCAGGGAUACAACGUGAUGUCCUUCGUUUAUUGGUUGCCUGAAUGGAAUCCAUACCCGGACUCGGUACAUAUCUGCGUUAAUUGCUUUGUUUUUCAUUCAGCUCACGCGCUUCAUCCCCCAUAAUCUUAAUUAACGAUCUGGAAUCUGGCGUACAGAAAUAAUUAAAACCUAUCGGGAUGAAUUUUGAGAACUACUUGUAUUCUUCUCGCGUAUGGUGUCCAUCGUAUCCACUGGAAAUAGGUUCAUCGAGUAGUGUAUAGGCAUACUUCACCCAUAAUUAUAUAGAUUAGGGUAUUAAUAGUAAUUAGUUCUUAAUAAUCGACUAUUAGCUGCUAUUAACUUUCUCCCCAAUACCUUCGAACGGUUGAUUGGAAAUUUAAUACUCGGACGCAUCUAUGAGCCCAUAUCACCUUACCGAUCUACAGAAGCGUGCGUUAUGUGGAGUUAUGCUACUGGAAAAAUUUUACAACCUUUCCUUUGUUGCUUUAGAAAUCCUUUUGUGAAUUGACCGCAUAUUUUUGUAACUUUUCCAAAUUUUCACCGAGCUCAGCUAUGUUUUUUUCCCCCCUGAGAGUCGAAGUUCGAUUAACGGUCCCCUCUUAGAAAAGGGUAUGUAUAAAAUUUUAUUGGUAUUGAAGAAUUCAAGAACACCAAUUUCUUCCUCCGAAGAACGACUCGCAAUUAGUCUUAAUUCGCUCCGUUGCAUUCAAAUUGCGCAUUAUCCACCCCCGAUCAUUGUCUUUCAUCUAAAACUCCAACAAUUGUAGUUUCGGCGUCCGAAACCUAGACUGAUAAUGGUACUGCUCACAUGAACAAAAAAAUAAUUGACAAAUGGAAACAGUCGAGUUUGUUUCUCGCGGAAGAGGUAGAAUCUCUAUCAGACCGAUUAAGUUAGGCGUGGAGUAUUUCUUUUUUUCUCUUCGAGUGAUCGAAAUUUUUGUCCCUUCGCUCCUACCCUCAAGUUCUCGAGUAAAAUCCCAAAUCACAUUUCCCAAAAUCAUCGUCCCACCUGCUCCAAUACGUCUCUUUGGUAAUCGAAGUGGGCCGUUUCCUUCCAUUUCCGAAAAAGGCGAUUCCCAGGCCGAUAGUAAUCUGGAGUACAAGGAGCAAUCCUUCGGGUGAGCGUAUUUAUGGAGAUCUUUUUGUGCCUGUCUCCGUUAACCGUCUGUGAUAUCUGUCCGUUUGCCCGUCCACCACACCACAUCCCUCUAUCGGAUCCUCCGCAUAUAGAAUUCGAAGUAAUAUAUUAACCCGCUCCUUCAAGAACCGUAAAAAAUAUCAACACUGCAGUGGUUGUCCGUUUGAAACAUGGAUUCUUGCGAAUCAGAAAAAACUGUCCAUCCGAUUCGCUGAUUUUCCAAAAGCUAAAUGUCUUUCUUCUUGCCGUCAAGACGUUCAAGUGUAGGUUUUAUUUCCGAUGCAGCCACAAAAGCCGACGUUACAGAAUUUUAUCCACGGUCGCUCAGUGACUCAAUUAUAGUUAUAGAAAAUAGACGCGAUCAAUCUUCUAUGUACGUGAAGUGGCUGCAGAGUACAAUAAAUAGUAUAUAAUCGAAGUAAGAAAAAAUGAACAAAGAAAACCGAAGACUAUUAUAAGAGGAAAUGAAAGAUAAACUCAACAAAUGGUAGGAACGAAAUGAGAACCCCUAAUCCAGAUACGUUGCUUACAUACUAGGACAAUCGUAAUGAAAUCAGAGCAGGGCAGCGCUCCGAUAAAUAGUUCAGGAGGCAUUCCCCAACACGUGACUCAAGUCGGCAUUACACACGUCCCGCCCGCGCCGCUCGUUCCACGGAAUAACGUGUCUAAAUAAUGAAUGAAGGCACAUGCAUGCAACGAUUGUCAAAAGACAGAGUUGGGGGAGGACCGAGCGAAGUUCCUACACACGAUCCUAGGCGGUCGAUCGACGCGGUGUAGGUUUAUGCGGGACACAUUCGUAUGUUUCGGUACCCGUACGACGGACGGGUCCGGUAGAUUUCCUUGGAGAUUAUACGGUUAGAGGUGUCGCGGUAGAAAGGAAAUCACUCGAUGCAACGAUUCCUUCCCCUUUAUAGGAACAAUUUAACCUUACUUUAUGGAGACGUAAAAGGUAAUCUUUUAUUCCCGAUAGAAACACCUCCUGCGAGGUAGAAAAGUAUAUCUUUCGAGGAUUCGGAAUCUCUUGAAAUUCGGGAUUUCGAUUGAUCGCAAGUCUCUCUUUUCUCCAUUUCACGUUCUGACGGUAGCAAAAGCUAUUAAUUUUCUUCGCUCCCGGCGCCCCAUUUUCGAGUUCACCUUUUAAAACACCUGAAUCAUAUCGGCGCGGAUAUCGGCCGUGAAGAAGCCGGAUUAGAGAGAUGAUUCAUAGCGGCCAAAAAAUUGAUGCUAACUUCGGAAUAUUGCAUUUGACGUUCUACCGGAACUACAAAGAAUGUCUGAGAACGCGUGUGUAAGGGAGACCCGACGAUAUGGUCUCUGCCGAAGACAUUACUCUUGCGCUGUAUCAUAGCAAAGAUCCAAUCCCGAGAAUUCGAGAGACGUUCGCCUCAGGAAUAUUGCGCGUUGUCUCAUCCUCCCGCUCUGCCCACGUUUUUUAUACACCCCGACUUUUUCUCUUCCCGAUUCCAGUUUCUCGCAGUCUUAAGAUACAGCCAGUGAGACGACUUUUGGGACGCAGAAGGGGCAGAGGACGGAAGGAGGGAGAUAAACGUUUUCGGUUGCCAAAAUCAGACAACGGAUAGAAGCAAUUCGGGGUGACGUUUCGGAGAUAGCUGUAGGUGGUUGCCGCUGGUUGCCGGGUGAUCGAGCAAUAUAUACAACCUCCUCGUUUCUGCCUUGGGGACUUCUUCCUAUCGCUCUUAUUUAUCUUGAUACUACGUCAAAAAUUGUAGUAUAAAACAGUCCGAAGUACAGUCUAGAUGUAACUCGCCCUCAACACCGGCAAACUCGAGUCAGCGCCGAGGAAUUCGGCAGUUGGUUCAUAAUUUCGAAAUUCCACUUCACUAAUUUUCGUCAUACUUCAGGAGUCAUUUCUCCAGCCUCGCCGUCGAAACUCUGAUUGCCGAGAUACAAGACGAAAUCGGAAUUUCCGGUAUCCCAUAGAGGUAGACGAUUAGCAAUGAAUAGCGAAUUUCUGGCCUCGUGGUAUUCACGGGUUGAAUCACCGUGUUUUUUCGCAGUAUAAAAUGAAAAUUGCGUAGACCAGUAACGCGUGAUAAGAAUUAAUCGGCACAUUAGGAAAGUUUUAUUGAAAUAGCGGGAAUAUUUCAUUGCUUGGCGUAAAAGGGCUAUUAGAUUUCCACCCCAACGUUGUUACGGUGCGCGCAAGGUAAAAGGUAUACCUAUACGCAUAAUAUUCAAUCAUCUCGUAUGCCUCAUCUCGUUGUUUCAAGUAUCCAUUUCUCUGUCCCUUAUACAUAUUUCCGUUUUUAUCUUAUCUCCUAAACUCUUUACACCAGAAUCGUUCUAAUAUUUUUUUCAAGUUGAUGCGGAACCCGCGCGCCCGUUAUUCCGUUUGCACCUAUCGCGCGACAUUUUGCCUCGAAAAUUGAUCUGCCGCGACAUAAUUCACCCGGAUCUGGAUACGAAUAAUAUCGCCCACAUCGCGCUACCCAUAAACUUGCAGCCAAUUUCAUUUUGAUGCAAUUUCCCUUUGCAACAUUCAGCGAAAUUUGCGCACAGCUCCCCUUCGGUACACGGAGCGGAUAUUAAAUUUUUCAAAAAAGUAAAAGCGCUCUCCCCGUCGCGUUUAUUAAUUACUAAUACUUAAACAACCAGCGGCUGUUGACCGUACUUAAGCGAAAUUCAUUUCACUCGGCAUCUUUCUUAUCGUACCGCCCCUCGCACGAUGGCUGACCUAACGCGAGUAUUAAAGUUAAGCCGAAAUGAGGCUGUGUAUUUAUCUCUAGUUUCCCAACGCUGCAUCGUUGCACGGUGCGUUGCGUUACUCUACAUUCGGUAGACAACGGAAACACACACACACACACACACAGGCGCGCGAUACGCGAGACUACGUUACACGUCCGUGUUCCACCGUUCCACGAACGCUUUCCCCUUCUCUUAUUUAUGGUGGUCCCGCGUCUACCCAAUGUGUCCCGGGCUCCGUGAGCCCCUGAAUUCAACCCCCAUGAACGCCAUGUGGAAUCUGCCCUCAGUCCUCUGCCCUCCGUUCUCAAUCCUCCGCCCUGCGCUCUCUGCGCACGGUCCUUUACUACACGAAGAACUUUUUUUUUUCACACGUAUGAAUAUUAGAGAAAUAAAACUGCGAAGAUGGGCGAGCUUCUGGACCAUUUUUCUUUACGAUUUAAGUUCAAAGCUGCAGAUGUACUUUUCUACGUUUCACAAACGAUUUGAUUUUCGUAGAAUAAAUUUGACCGCCUGGAUGCGCGCUGGUUUCUCACCAUAGUUGAUACAAAUUUUCGCAUAAACGGACAGCUCGUAUUUCAUCAGAUGAUUUUUCUACGUCUGCACGAUGAUUGGUUGAAUAUUAUCAGAGGCCAUCAAUUGAAUGAGAUUAGUUUAUUUUGCAAAUAAUCUCUUAUUUUCGAGAUCCGUAGACGAUUCAACGAAAAUGUGACUUUUCAUCCGAUGUGAUGGAACGUGAAUUCUCAGAAUCGGAGUAUGAGCACUCAGAGUGAUUUGAAAUGCCAUACUCGGUUGAAGCAAUUAGAAUCGAUUGACGGAGAGCCGAGUGCAGAGGGGUGCUGAAAAAUUCUACUACAGCAUCCUGCGGUCCAGAACGGUACGUGUCAAUCUCUGGAGUUCGGAGUCAGCUAGAUGUAACCAGUAGCAAGAAGGUUGCGGCGUAUCGAGGCGAAAGCUCGAGGUAAACCAAAAUUUUUUCUUCUCUACAUUCAGCCGCUGCUCUCGGUGGACCAACGCGACGUGCUCCACGUUACGACCGAACGAAAACUCGAAAAUGCGAUGAGGGAUGCGACGUUGGUUAUGAGGAACACGACGAGGUAGAAAAAGUACAGUGACCGAGAGAAGACAAAGAGAGGCUGGAUGAGGGAAAAUAAGAGGGUGAGAAAGUUGGGGUCGGUCGAGCAACGGAACGUAUCAAGGGAGUGAGCAGAGCGGUGGUGGUUGAGGUGGUUGAGAUCGUGAAGGAUGGUCCUCGCUUCUGCUCCAGAGGAUGAAACAGCGCGGUGAAGCCCCUAUAUCUGCGAAAGCUGCCCGCGCUCUCGCUCGCAACGUGAUAAAAUAUUUAUCGAGCUCUACUGCCUCUCUUUAUUUUCUUAUUGUUACUUCCCUAAUCUAUACUAGAUGUUGUCGUAUACUUUUUUCCCCAUCCAUUUUUCGCCCAAUCAUCAAUAAGUCAAGCGUUAUUUAUGCUCCAGGUGAAGUUGGAUUAUGAGUAA
Molecule: long non-coding RNA, 6143 nt
Organism: Athalia rosae (coleseed sawfly)
Lineage: Eukaryota; Metazoa; Arthropoda; Insecta; Hymenoptera; Athaliidae
Exons: 3
Source: RefSeq, a predicted model, not a curated record